GGAGGAGUGGCCGAGCGGUCGAAGGCAGCGGUCUUGAAAACCGCCGAGCGCAAGCUCCGGGGGUUCGAAUCCCUCCUCCUCCG
RNAcentral lists this transfer RNA (83 nucleotides) under Pseudomonadota bacterium. RNAcentral describes it as "Proteobacteria bacterium tRNA-Ser". It matches the Rfam family "tRNA". From Rfam's summary of the family: Transfer RNA (tRNA) molecules are approximately 80 nucleotides in length. Their secondary structure includes four short double-helical elements and three loops (D, anti-codon, and T loops). Further hydrogen bonds mediate the characteristic L-shaped molecular structure. tRNAs have two regions of fundamental functional importance: the anti-codon, which is responsible for specific mRNA codon recognition, and the 3' end, to which the tRNAs corresponding amino acid is attached (by aminoacyl-tRNA synthetases). tRNAs cope with the degeneracy of the genetic code in two manners: having more than one tRNA (with a specific anti-codon) for a particular amino acid; and 'wobble' base-pairing, i.e. permitting non-standard base-pairing at the 3rd anti-codon position. The record is from RNAcentral. Lineage: Bacteria; Pseudomonadati; Pseudomonadota. RNAcentral also lists the same sequence under 7 other names.